AAAAUUAAAAAAAAAAAAAAGAAAGAAGAAGGAAAAAACCAGAGAGAAACACGUGAGAAUGAGUAAAGAAGGGGAUCAUACUCCCUUGACUGGAAACUCCUCCACUGGAGAUUCCUUUGCAGGCAUGACAUCUCGAUUAUCCCAGAUGAUGAAUCAAAUUCCGACUGUAGUGAAUCAAGAACCCCUCGCCACACCGAUUGGCAUUAAGUUGGAUGGCACCAACUAUGCUUUAUGGUCCCAAAUUGUUGAGAUGUAUAUUUCAGGCAAAUACAAAUUGGGAUGUAUAAAUGGAGAUUUACCACAGCCUCAACCGACGGAUUCAACAUUCAGAAAAUGGAGAACUGAUGAUGCAAUUGUGAAAGGGUGGUUGAUCAACUCCAUGGACCCUACCUUGAUUAGCAAUUUCAUUCGUUUACCAACUGCAAAAAUGGUAUGGGAUUCCAUUGCUACAACUUAUUUUGAUGGAACUGAUACAUCUCAAGUGUAUGACUUACGUAAAUGGGUGACUGGAAUGAGAAAAGCUGGGGGAUCUAUUGAAAAAUUUUACAAUGAUCUUCAAGGCUUAUGGAGAGAAAUCGAUUUCUGUCGUCCAAAUCCAAUCGAAUGUGCUGUUGAUAUACAAAAAUAUAAUUCCAUCAUACAAGAAGAUAGAGUCUAUACCUUUCUCAAUGGUUUGGAUGAUCGGCUUGACAAGGUCCGAAGUGAUGUAUUGCAGCAGAAGCCAUUCCCAACUGUUGAACAAGCUUAUGCUCAGGUCAGACGUGAAGAUAUUAGGUAGGCUGUGAUGAUAACAGGCUCAGGCUUGGAAGAUACAACUGGUGCUGUUAUGGCUUCUAAAGGAGCAAAAUUGGGACAACAAUACUCAUCUUCAAAAUUGGGGUCUCUCUCUAUGAGUACUGAUAAACUCAGUACUACACCCAAGGCUAAAGCAAAAUCAGAAGGAGGAGGAUGCACUCAUUGUGGAGGCAAGAAACAUACCAGUGAAACUUUGUUCAAGUUACAUGGAUACCCAAGCUGGUGGGAUGAACUCAAAGCUCAGAAACAACAAAAAAUUGCUGUAUCUGAUGGGGGUCUGGGAAAGGCUGCCUUGACAACUGCUGAACUUCAAUUAUCCUUCACUUCAGAAGUGGAAUCCUCAAGUAAUUCAGCAACUCUCAAUGAUCAAGGUAACCAUGGACAAGUUUUACUUAAUUCUAGCAGACAAAGUGAUUGUGAUUGUAUAAUCGAUUCAGAGGCAACUGACCACAUGACAUUUGAUGCAAAUGAUUUUUCAAAGGUCACUCAACCAAGGCGAACAACUAUUGCUAAUCCCAAUGGUGUCACUUAUCCAGUAACAGGGGCUGGAAUUGUUGCUUUAUCAUCCUCUCUCUCCUUAUCUCAUACUUUAUUUGUUCCCUCUCUCUCAAAUAAAUUAUUGUCUGUAAGCCAAGUCACUGCAGAACUAAAUUGUGUGGCACUCAUGUAUCCUACUUUUUGUUUGCUUCAGGAUAUUCCUACCAAGGAGAUCAUUAGGCGUGACUAAGAGGGGGGGUUUAUAUUACAUGGAUGACUUCAGCCUGGGUAGAGCAAAUCAUAUGCAUCAUACAACGAGUAUUAAAGAGAAGCAAAUCUGGUUAUGGCAUCGUCGUUUGGGGCAUCCAUCAUUUGGUUAUAUGAAGCACUUGUUUCUAUUUAUUUUCAGAUUUACAUAACUCGAACUUGAAAUGUGAUACUUGCAUUUUAGCCAAGAGUCAUAGGGUAUCUUACCCAGUAAGCUUGAAUAAAAGUGAUGUUCCUUUUGCUUUAAUCUAUGCAGACGUAUGGGGGCCUUUCUCAAUUAUUACUUCUUCUGGCACUUGUUGGUUUGUGACAUUUGUAGAUGAUUGCACUUGAAUGACAUGGAUAUACCUGUUAAAACAUAAAGCUGAUGUCUUUAAUGUUUUUAAAUCAUUUCAUGCAAUGGUUCAGACUCAAUAUUCAGCUAAGAGUCAGAUUUUCCGUUCGGGCAAUGGUGGUGAAUAUGUCGACCAACAAUUUCAAGCUUACUUCAAAAAUCAUGGCCUUCUACAUGAAACUUCAUGUCCUCAAACCCCACAGCAAAAUAGUAUUGUUGAGAGGAAGAAUCGAAACAUCUUAGAGACAGCUCGUGCACUAUUAAUUGGAGCGAAUGUACCAAAUAGGUACUGGGAUGAUGCAGUUGCUAUAACAGUACACUUACUAAAUAGGAUGCCCUCAAAAGUCCUCAAUUUUAAGACUCCUUUACAGGUGCUUUCUAAUCAUGUUUCCUUGCCUACUGUUUUGUUGAUCCCUCCCCACGUUUUCGGCUGUGUUGCUUUUGUUCAUUUUUAGAAAAACCAACGAACUAAGCUGGAUCCGAGCGUUGUCUGUUGCAAUUUUUUAGGAUAUGCCUUACAUAAAAAAGGCUAUCGUUGCUAUAACCCUAGCACUAAGCGCACAUAUGUCACCAUGGAUGUUACUUUUGUUGAAUCUGAUAGUUUUUUUCCAUCUCCAAUAUCCAAUUCACCUCUUCAUGGGGAGAGGUGGAAUGAAGAGCAAAAUUGGACUGAUUUUAAAUGGCCAAGAUUUAAAUAUGAUUUAGCACCAGGAAUUUCAACACUACAAGAAAUUUCAGUAGAAACCAAUAAUAGAAAUAAAAUGGUAGCUGGUGGGGAAACAAUUGGUGAUGUCGAUGUGUCUCCAAUGUCUCCAAGAGUUGAUUCUAUGUUAUCUGAAUCUGAAGAAAAAUCUCCCCACUCUUCAAUACCUGAAGUCCCGUCUCACGAGAAUAUUUAUGAGAUAAGCUCUCCCACCACUACAUCCUCUCAUACUAAAAACUUGGAAUUAUCUGUUGGUUAUAUUCUACCCCUCAGGCAUAAUCGUGGCAAGCCACCAAAUAGAUACUCUCCUGAUUAUGAGGAAAGAAGGACAAAGUAUCCCAUUGCAAAUUAUGUGUCCACUCAAAAACUGUCAGAACCUCUCAAGGCUUUUGUGCACACCUUAUCCUCAUGUCAUGUUCCAAAAAGCAUACAAGAAGCUUUAAUGGAUGCAAAGUGGGUUAAAGCUAUAAAAGAAGAAAUGAAGGCUUUGCAAAAGAUUAAAACAUGGACAUUAGUUCCAUUACCAAAAGGAAAAAAGAUGGUGGGGUGCAAAUGGGUUUUCACCACUAAACACAAGGCAGACGGAUCCAUUGACAGAUACAAGGCGAGACUCGUGGCUAAGAGAUAUACACAGACAUAUGGCAUCGACUAUCAAGAGACCUUCUCACCAGUGGCAAAACUAAAUACUGUUAGUUUUAUUGUCUUUAGCAGCAAAUUUAGACUGGCCGUUGCAUCAGUUUGAUGUGAAGAACGCCUUUCUUCUUGGUGAUCUUGAAGAGAAAGUUUACAUGGAUAUACCUCCAGGAUACGUUACAUCAUCUAAGGCUCAAGUUGCGUGUAAGGUACAACAAGCAUUGUAUGGACUAAACAAUCCCUCCAAGCAUGGUUUGGUCGAUUUAGCUUGGCAAUGUAAAAAUAUGGCUACCAACAGAGCAAUUCUGAUUACACUUUAUUCCUAAAAAAUCAUUUUGGGAAAGUGACAGCUCUAAUAAUCUAUGUAGACGACAAGAUUAUUACAGGGGAUGACUUGAAAAAGAUCUCUAAACUUCAAGAGAAAUUGGCAACUGAAUUCGAAAUUAAGAAUCUUGGAGGGCUCAAAUAUUUUCUGGGAACUGAAGUAGCAAGAUCAAAACAAGGCAUAUUUCUCUCUCAAAGGAAAUAUGUGCUAGACUUACUUUCAGAAGUGGGACUUUUAGAUUGUAAACCGACAAACACACCAAUUGUUCUGAAUCACAAACUUGGGAAAUGUUCAGAUCAUGCACCAACAAAUAAAGAGAGGUAUCAAAGGUUAGUUGAAAAACUCAUUUACUUAUCGCAUACACGCUCAAAUAUUGCUUAUGCGGUAAAUGUUGUAAGUCAAUUUAUGCAUCGCCCUUGCAAGUUUCAUAUCCGGAUUCUUCGUUAUUUAAAAUCCACUCUUGGAAAAGGGCUUAUGUUCUCCAAGCAUAAUCAUCUAAACAUUGAUGGUUACACAGAUGCUGAUUGGGUAGGGAACAUUUCUGAUAGGAAGUCUACUUCGAUCUACUUCAAUUUUGUAGGAGGAAACCUUGUUGCAUGGAGAAGUAAGAAACAAAAGGUAGUAGCAUUGUCCAAUGUUGAAGCUCAAUUUCAAGGAAUGUCUAAAGGACUUUGUGAGCUACUUUGGCCCAAGAAGAUAUUGAUUUUCAUCCUAGCUCCGAGGUGAACCUCUUUUGUGACAACAAGGCAGCAAUUGACAUUUCUCAUAAUUCAGUCCAACGCGAUCGUACCAAACACAUUGAGGUAGAUCGUCAUUUCAUCAACCAGAAUCUUGAGGCCAAGAUAAUCCGAUUUACAUUUGUUAAAUCUGAGGACCAGUUGGCAGACAUAUUCACAAAAGCUCUCUCUGGCAAAAACUUCUACAACUUACUUGACAAGUUGGGCAUUCAAGACAUGUAUGCAUCAACCUGAGGGGGAGUGUUGGCGUGAGUUGUCAAUAGGAAUAGAUUGGAGAAAU
RNAcentral lists this unclassified non-coding RNA (4551 nucleotides) under Hevea brasiliensis (rubber tree). Lineage: Eukaryota; Viridiplantae; Streptophyta; Magnoliopsida; Malpighiales; Euphorbiaceae. The record is from RNAcentral.